RNAcentral lists this ribosomal RNA (449 nucleotides) under uncultured bacterium. RNAcentral describes it as "SSU rRNA". It matches the Rfam family "Bacterial small subunit ribosomal RNA", at positions 26 to 518 of the family's 1533-position model. The record is from RNAcentral.
AGAGCGAACGCUGGCGGCAGGCUUAACACAUGCAAGUCGAGCGGGCGUAGCAAGUACGUCAGCGGCAGACGGGUGAGUAACGCGUGGGAACAUACCUUUUGGUUCGGAACAACACAGGGAAACUUGUGCUAAUACCGGAUAAGCCCUUACGGGGAAAGAUUUAUCGCCGAAAGAUUGGCCCGCGUCUGAUUAGCUAGUUGGUGAGGUAACGGCUCACCAAGGCGACGAUCAGUAGCUGGUCUGAGAGGAUGAUCAGCCACAUUGGGACUGAGACACGGCCCAAACUCCUACGGGAGGCAGCAGUGGGGAAUAUUGGACAAUGGGCGCAAGCCUGAUCCAGCCAUGCCGCGUGAGUGAUGAAGGCCCUAGGGUUGUAAAGCUCUUUUGUGCGGGAAGAUAAGUGACGGUACCGCAAGAAUAAGCCCGGCUAACUUCGUGCCAGCAGCCGC